This 253-nucleotide ribosomal RNA is filed under the name uncultured bacterium. RNAcentral describes it as "partial 16S ribosomal RNA". It matches the Rfam family "Bacterial small subunit ribosomal RNA", at positions 524 to 776 of the family's 1533-position model. The record is from RNAcentral.
UACAGAGGGGGCAAGCGUUGUUCGGAAUUACUGGGCGUAAAGGGCGCGUAGGCUGCCUGUUAAGUCAGACGUGAAAUCCCUCGGCUCAACCGCGGAACUGCGUCUGAUACUGGCGGGCUUGAAUUCGGGAGAGGGAUGUGGAAUUCCAGGUGUAGCGGUGAAAUGCGUAGAUAUCUGGAGGAACACCGGUGGCGAAGGCGGCAUCCUGGACCGACAUUGACGCUGAGGCGCGAAAGCCAGGGGAGCAAACGGG